AUGAGGAUGCCUAAUCCAAGGGAAGUAGAUCGGGCUUUGUUUGUGGAAAAUGUGAGGCUGAAACAAUGCAAUGUCAGUGUUAGAUUCUCCCCCUGGUCCGAGGACAUUGAUUCUGAUGGAUUAUUGGAGGUCGCAUGGGUUAGGAUUGGGAGAAUCCCUCCUAAAAAAAGAUGUGAUAAGACUAUUGCUUAUGUUGGGGGCCUGGUAGGAAUCACUUUGGAGGUGGAUAUGUCUACCAUUAAUCGUCCUUCGUCGGUUCAAGCCAAGAUUGGAUGUUGGAUGGUGGAUAAAAUACCCAGCUCAGCUGAGGGGGUGCUGGGGGUUGUUUUUACAAAUUUACUUAUGAGGUUGAAGAGAUUCUGGUCAAAACCCCUGCUGUGGAGGAUGCUAAUGCUCAUAUCUCUGGCAACGAACCUGCUAAGCAUGACCAAACUCCAAAAAGAAAACGAGAUGACCCGAAAGAUAGUGACGGUCGCUCAGAUUCUCCUGAUCGUGGGAAAGGUGGUACUUCUCAUGGUGGUAAAACCUGUUGUUUGCUACCAGUUGAGAAUGAGAUCUCUGCCUCAUCUGAAAGUGAGGUAG
RNAcentral lists this ribosomal RNA (582 nucleotides) under Triticum aestivum (bread wheat). Its description in RNAcentral is "partial small subunit ribosomal RNA". Lineage: Eukaryota; Viridiplantae; Streptophyta; Magnoliopsida; Poales; Poaceae. The record is from RNAcentral.